Molecule: ribosomal RNA, 1235 nt
Filed under: metagenome
Description: bacterial SSU rRNA
Rfam family: Bacterial small subunit ribosomal RNA
Source: RNAcentral
CACGUGUGCAACCAACCCCGUACCGGGAGAUAACCCGCGGAAACGUGGACUAGCAUCCCAUGAGACUCGAGAGCCGCAUGGCUCUAGAUUUAAAAUUCCGGUGGUACGGGACGGGCACGCGCGACAUUAGGUAGUUGGCGGGGUAACGGCCCACCAAGCCGACGAUGUCUAGGGGUUCUGAGAGGAAGGUCCCCCACACUGGAACUGAGACACGGUCCAGACUCCUACGGGAGGCAGCAGUGAGGAAUAUUGGUCAAUGGGCGAGAGCCUGAACCAGCCAAGUCGCGUGAGGGAAGAAUGGUCUAUGGCCUGUAAACCUCUUUUGUCAGGGAAGAAUAAGGAUGACGAGUCAUUCGAUGCCAGUACUUGACGAAUAAGCAUCGGCUAACUCCGUGCCAGCAGCCGCGGUAAUACGGGGGAUGCGAGCGUUAUCCGGAUUUAUUGGGUUUAAAGGGCGCGUAGGCGGGACGGCAAGUCAGCGGUAAAAGACUGCAGCUAAACUGUAGCACGCCGUUGAAACUGUUGACCUCGAGACGAGACGAGGGAGGCGGAACAAGUGAAGUAGCGGUGAAAUGCAUAGAUAUCACUUGGAACCCCGAUAGCGAAGGCAGCUUCCCAGGCUCGUUCUGACGCUGAUGCGCGAGAGCGUGGGUAGCGAACAGGAUUAGAUACCCUGAUAGUCCACGCCGUAAACGAUGCUCACUGGAUCUUGGCGAUACACUGCCAGGGUUCAAGCGAAAGUAUUAAGUGAGCCACCUGGGGAGUACGUCGGCAACGUUGAAACUCAAAGGAAUUGACGGGGGCCCGCACAAGCGGAGGAACAUGUGGUUUAAUUCGAUGAUACGCGAGGAACCUUACCCGGGUUUAAAUGUAGAUUGCAUGAGGUGGAAACGCUUCUUCCCUUCGGGGCUAUUUACAAGGUGCUGCAUGGUUGUCGUCAGCUCGUGCCGUGAGGUGUCGGGUUAAGUCCCAUAACGAGCGCAACCCCUAUCGCCAGUUGCCAUCGGUUGAAGCCGGGCACUCUGUCGAGACUGCCACCGUAAGGUGCGAGGAAGGCGGGGAUGACGUCAAAUCAGCACGGCCCUUACACCCGGGGCGACACACGUGUUACAAUGGCCGGUACAGAGGGCAGCCACGGGGUGACCCGGAGCGAAUCUCUAAAGCCGGUCGUAGUUCGGACUGGAGUCUGCAACCCGACUCCACGAAGUUGGAUUCGCUAGUAAUCGCGCAUCAGC